Molecule: ribosomal RNA, 620 nt
Filed under: uncultured Mycobacterium sp.
Lineage: Bacteria; Bacillati; Actinomycetota; Actinomycetes; Mycobacteriales; Mycobacteriaceae
Description: bacterial SSU rRNA
Rfam family: Bacterial small subunit ribosomal RNA
Source: RNAcentral
AGCAGGGACGAAGCGGAAGUGACGGUACCUGCAGAAGAAGCACCGGCCAACUACGUGCCAGCAGCCGCGGUAAUACGUAGGGUGCAAGCGUUGUCCGGAAUUAUUGGGCGUAAAGAGCUCGUAGGUGGUUUGUCGCGUUGUUCGUGAAAACUCACAGCUUAACUGUGGGCGUGCGGGCGAUACGGGCAGACUGGAGUACUGCAGGGGAGACUGGAAUUCCUGGUGUAGCGGUGGAAUGCGCAGAUAUCAGGAGGAACACCGGUGGCGAAGGCGGGUCUCUGGGCAGUAACUGACGCUGAGGAGCGAAAGCGUGGGGAGCGAACAGGAUUAGAUACCCUGGUAGUCCACGCCGUAAACGGUGGGUACUAGGUGUGGGUUUCCUUCCUUGGGAUCCGUGCCGUAGCUAACGCAUUAAGUACCCCGCCUGGGGAGUACGGCCGCAAGGCUAAAACUCAAAGGAAUUGACGGGGGCCCGCACAAGCGGCGGAGCAUGUGGAUUAAUUCGAUGCAACGCGAAGAACCUUACCUGGGUUUGACAUGCACAGGACGCCGGCAGAGAUGUCGGUUCCCUUGUGGCCUGUGUGCAGGUGGUGCAUGGCUGUCGUCAGCUCGUGUCGUGA